This 75-nucleotide transfer RNA is filed under the name Desulfomicrobium sp. Its description in RNAcentral is "tRNA-Thr". It matches the Rfam family "tRNA". Rfam says of the family: Transfer RNA (tRNA) molecules are approximately 80 nucleotides in length. Their secondary structure includes four short double-helical elements and three loops (D, anti-codon, and T loops). The record is from RNAcentral. Lineage: Bacteria; Pseudomonadati; Thermodesulfobacteriota; Desulfovibrionia; Desulfovibrionales; Desulfomicrobiaceae. RNAcentral also lists the same sequence under 6 other names.
GCUGGCGUAGCUCAAUGGUAGAGCAGCUGACUUGUAAUCAGCAGGUUGCGGGUUCAAGUCCCAUCGCCAGCUCCA